GGGGUUGUUUAGACUCGACAGGUUGUACUUUCAAAAUAGGCAAGCCGACCUUGAGGACAUGGUCGUAAAUCUCGUUCUCACGAUGAUAAAUGCAAACUUCAUCACAAAGACCAAGAAUGCACUCGCGCAAGCGUUUGCCCCUUCUUACAGUCUUGCGCUCGCCUAAUUACUGGCGACGCCAUCAGUAUCCUGAUUCUCGGUAGGGAACCACUGGUGUCAUAAUAUCGAGACGUGACGGAAGAAUUUCUUUUUCUUUUACUCCCCGAUCGUAUUGCAAAAGAAAAACUCGCCAGAGGGUUUUGUCUCCUUUCGACCUUUGGCCCGUACAAAAAGUUGACUACGCUUGUAGAUUAUUUUGGAAAAACUUCUCUGGACAUGGGUGCAAUUCCCAUCAACUCCACAU
This 403-nucleotide transfer-messenger RNA is filed under the name Candidatus Moraniibacteriota bacterium. It matches the Rfam family "transfer-messenger RNA". Rfam says of the family: Bacterial tmRNA, also known as 10Sa RNA or SsrA, is named for its dual tRNA and mRNA-like properties. Its role is to liberate the mRNA from a stalled ribosome. Lineage: Bacteria; Candidatus Moraniibacteriota. The record is from RNAcentral.